This 1346-nucleotide ribosomal RNA is filed under the name uncultured bacterium. RNAcentral describes it as "partial 16S ribosomal RNA". It matches the Rfam family "Bacterial small subunit ribosomal RNA", at positions 28 to 1381 of the family's 1533-position model. The record is from RNAcentral.
GACGAACGCUGGCGGCGUGCUUAACACAUGCAAGUCGAACGGAAAGGCCCUGCUUUUGUGGGGUGCUCGAGUGGCGAACGGGUGAGUAACACGUGAGUAACCUGCCCUUGACUUUGGGAUAACUUCAGGAAACUGGGGCUAAUACCGGAUAGGAGCUCCUGCUGCAUGGUGGGGGUUGGAAAGUUUCGGCGGUUGGGGAUGGACUCGCGGCUUAUCAGCUUGUUGGUGGGGUAGUGGCUUACCAAGGCUUUGACGGGUAGCCGGCCUGAGAGGGUGACCGGCCACAUUGGGACUGAGAUACGGCCCAGACUCCUACGGGAGGCAGCAGUGGGGAAUAUUGCACAAUGGGCGGAAGCCUGAUGCAGCAACGCCGCGUGCGGGAUGACGGCCUUCGGGUUGUAAACCGCUUUCGCCUGUGACGAGGCGUGAGUGACGGUAAUGGGUAAAGAAGCACCGGCUAACUACGUGCCAGCAGCCGCGGUGAUACGUAGGGUGCGAGCGUUGUCCGGAUUUAUUGGGCGUAAAGGGCUCGUAGGUGGUUGAUCGCGUCGGAAGUGUAAUCUUGGGGCUUAACCCUGAGCGUGCUUUCGAUACGGGUUGACUUGAGGGAGGUAGGGGAGAAUGGAAUUCCUGGUGGAGCGGUGGAAUGCGCAGAUAUCAAGAGGAACACCAGUGGCGAAGGCGGUUCUCUGGGCCUUUCCUGACGCUGAGGAGCGAAAGCGUGGGGAGCGAACAGGCUUAGAUACCCUGGUAGUCCACGCUGUAAACGGUGGGUACUAGGUGUGGGGUCCAUUCCACGGGUUCCGUGCCGUAGCUAACGCUUUAAGUACCCCGCCUGGGGAGUACGGCCGCAAGGCUAAAACUCAAAGGAAUUGACGGGGCCCCGCACAAGCGGCGGAGCAUGCGGAUUAAUUCGAUGCAACGCGUAGAACCUUACCUGGGUUUGACAUGGAUCGGGAGUGCUCAGAGAUGGGUGUGCCUCUUUUGGGGUCGGUUCACAGGUGGUGCAUGGCUGUCGUCAGCUCGUGUCGUGAGAUGUUGGGUUAAGUCCCGCAACGAGCGCAACCCUUGUUCACUGUUGCCAGCACGUUAUGGUGGGGACUCAGUGGAGACCGCCGGGGUCAACUCGGAGGAAGGUGGGGAUGACGUCAAGUCAUCAUGCCCCUUAUGUCCAGGGCUUCACGCAUGCUACAAUGGCUGGUACAGAGAGUGGCGAGCCUGUGAGGGUGAGCGAAUCUCGGAAAGCCGGUCUCAGUUCGGAUUGGGGUCUGCAACUCGACCUCAUGAAGUCGGAGUCGCUAGUAAUCGCAGAUCAGCAACGCUGCGGUGAAUACGUUCCCGGGGCU